RNAcentral lists this ribosomal RNA (433 nucleotides) under uncultured bacterium. RNAcentral's name for it is "partial 16S ribosomal RNA". It matches the Rfam family "Bacterial small subunit ribosomal RNA", at positions 29 to 507 of the family's 1533-position model. The record is from RNAcentral.
AACGAACGCUGGCGGCAUGCCUAACACAUGCAAGUCGAACGAGACCUUCGGGUCUAGUUGCGCACGGGUUCGUAACGCGUGGGAACCUUCCCUUAGGUUCGGAAUAACUCCCCGAAAGGGGUGCUAAUACCGGAUAAUGUCUUCGGACCAAAGAUUUAUCGCCUUUGGAUGGGCCCGCGUUGGAUUAGCUAGUUGGUAGGGUAAAAGCCUACCAAGGCGACGAUCCAUAGCUGGUCUGAGAGGAUGAUCAGCCACACUGGGACUGAGACACGGCCCAGACUCCUACGGGAGGCAGCAGUGGGGAAUAUUGGACGAUGGGCGAAAGACUGAUCCAGCAAUGCCGCGUGAGUGAUGAAGGACUUAGGGUUGUAAAGCUCUUUUAAACGGGAUGAUAAUGACAGUACCGGGAGAAUAAGCGCCGGCUAACUCCGUG